GGAUGAGUAAAGUGGCGCACGGGUGAGUAACGCGUGGAUAAUCUGCCCUUUAGUUAGGGAUAACUCAUCGAAAGGUGGGCUAAUACCUGAUAAUGUUGUUCUUACUUUGGUAGAACAACCAAAGGGGGCCUCUAUUUAUAAGCUCUCGCUAAAAGAUGAGUCCGCGUACCAUUAGCUAGUUGGUAGGGUAAAAGCCUACCAAGGCAACGAUGGUUAGCUGGUCUGAGAGGAUGAUCAGCCACACUGGAACUGAGACACGGUCCAGACUCCUACGGGAGGCAGCAGUGAGGAAUCUUGCGCAAUGGGGGAAACCCUGACGCAGCAACGCCGCGUGAGUGAGGAAGGUCUUCGGAUCGUAAAGCUCUGUCGGGUGGAAAGAAAGGGUUUGGAAGCCAAUACCCUUUUUUGACGGGUCCCACCAG
RNAcentral lists this ribosomal RNA (422 nucleotides) under uncultured bacterium. Its description in RNAcentral is "bacterial SSU rRNA". It matches the Rfam family "Bacterial small subunit ribosomal RNA", at positions 84 to 484 of the family's 1533-position model. The record is from RNAcentral.